This is a ribosomal RNA of Oncorhynchus keta (chum salmon), 151 nucleotides long. RefSeq annotates it as 5.8S ribosomal RNA. NCBI's taxonomy places the organism in Eukaryota, Metazoa, Chordata, Actinopteri, Salmoniformes, Salmonidae. The record is from RefSeq and is a predicted model, not a curated record. The transcript has a single exon.
AACUCUCAGCGAUGGAUCACUCGGCUUGUGCGUCGAUGAAGAACGCAGCUAACUGUGAGAACUAAUGUCAAUUGCAGGACAUUGAUCAUCGACACUUCGAACGCACCUUGGUCCCCAGGUUCCUCCUGGGGCUACGCCUGUUUGAGGGUCG